UACAGAGGUGGCAAGCGUUGUUCGGAAUUACUGGGCGUAAAGGGCGCGUAGGCGGCCUUGUAAGUCCUGUGUGAAAUCCCCCGGCUCAACUGGGGAACUGCACAGGAGACUGCUUGGCUUGAGUUCGGGAGAGGGAAGCGGAAUUCCGGGUGUAGCGGUGAAAUGCGUAGAUAUCCGGAGGAACACCGGUGGCGAAGGCGGCUUCCUGGACCGACACUGACGCUGAGGCGCGAAAGCCAGGGGAGCAAACAGG
This 253-nucleotide ribosomal RNA is filed under the name uncultured bacterium. Its description in RNAcentral is "partial 16S ribosomal RNA". It matches the Rfam family "Bacterial small subunit ribosomal RNA", at positions 524 to 776 of the family's 1533-position model. The record is from RNAcentral.